AUCAAUGCUUGAUCUGUAGAUCUGCAUAGAUACAGAUCAAUGCUUGAUCUGUAGAUCUGCAUAGAUAGAGAUCAAUGCUCUAUCCCAAUACUAAUCCGUAGAUCCGCAUAUAUAUAGAGAUCAAUGCUUGAUCUGUAGAUCUGCAUAUAUAUAUAGAGAGCAAUGCUUGAUCUGUAGAUCUGCAUAUAUAGAGAUCAAUGCUUGAUCCCAAUACUAAUUCGUAGAUCUGACCCAGAAAGAGAUCAAUGCUCUAUCCCAAUAUUUACACAACAAAAUUUCUUACUUCUGAUGGGUUAAGCCAUUUUUACGUUUAUUCGACACAAACAAACAAAUAAACAAACGGACAAACAAAUAAAUGAAUUAAAAAUAGCCGGUUGAUAGUGGGACUGUUGUAAUAUUUGUUCACCAUGUACGGGCUAAUUCUUCAGAACAUGGUUGAGUACAUAAGGAAUUCGUAUGGAGAAAAACAAUGGAAAGAGAUCAAAACAAAACUAGAUUUAGCUGAGGAUGAUUUUGGCAUCUCUGAACAAUUCCCUGAGGGCCAAAUAUCUAAAAUGGGGAAAGCAGCAAUGAAAGUGAUAGGAGUAAAGGAUGAAGAGUUCUAUGAGGGGAUGGGUGUAUAUUUUGUUGCUUUGGCUACAAACCUGGGCUAUGGAUUAAUGCUCCAAAGUGUAGGCAGAAACUUUCGAGAUUUUUUUGUAAACCUGGAUAAUCUUCAUGACUACCUCAAGUUUACAUUUCAAAGGAUGAAAGCUCCCAGUUUCUUUAUUGCACAUGAGGAUGAGUCUGGAAUGGUUCUAGAAUACAGGAGUAAGCGGCGUGGGUUUCAUCACUACGUCCAGGGCCAGGUGAAAGAGAUUUCCAAGAACUUUGCUGAUGAAAUUAAGAAACUCGAGAUAACCCUGAAAAAGCAAGAGGUUGUGUUUGAUACUGUAGUCAGCACAUUUGAGAUGAAGUUUGUGAACCAAGGUUAUAAAGACUUUCUUUUGCAAGAGGAACAAAGGAAAGUUGCAUCAAUGCCGCUCAGAGCCAGUAUUCUUUUUGAAAUGUUCCCCUUCUGCAUUCUUUAUAAUUCUGAUUUGACCGUGUCUGUGCUUGGUAGUGCUCUCCGACAAAUCAUCCCAAAAAUGGUUGGACAAAACCUGACUAACUGGUUUGAACUCAUUAAACCAUUGGUAGAGUUUAAAUGGGAGGUUAUAAUGUCACGAAUGAAUUCUAUGUUUGAACUGGCCUCACAGGAAGAAAUUGACAAACUGUGUGCCUCUGGGGGUGGAUCUACUUCUGGUGGUUAUAGCAGUGAAUUGAACCAUUUGUUGGAUGAGGAUGUGGAUAAAACUUUACAUAUCAAGGGUCAGAUGAUCUUUAUACCAGAAUGGAAUUCUAUUCUCUUCCUAGCUUGUCCAAUGAUGAAGGAUUUGAACAAUCUCAUCUGGUCUGGUUUGUUUAUCAACGAUCUUAGUAUGCAUGACUACUCUCGAGACAUUAUGCUGUCAAAAACCCAAGAGCAAAUUGAGCUGAAGAUGGCUCUGGUAAAUGCUGAGAUAAAAGCUCAAGGUGUGGCCCAACAGAAACAAAAACUAGAUGCUGUUAUGAAGAAAACUCAGGACAUCAUUGAUCAAAUGCUUCCAAAACAAAUUGCUGCCGAGUUGGCGCAGGGAAAAUCAAACAUGGAGGUGUGUCAGUCCUAUGAAUUAGUGACAAUGCUUUUCUCAGAUAUUGUCACAUUCACGGUUAUCUGCUCAAGACUAAAACCUCUACAGGUUGUUGCCCUUUUAAACAAUAUGUACACCCUGUUUGAUUUCCUUUGUGACCAGAAUGCUGUUUAUAAGGUUGAGACUAUAGGAGAUGCAUACCUUAUUGUGGCUGGAUGUCCAGUUAAAGCCAACAAUCAUGCAUUGCGGAUAUGUGAUAUGGCAUUUGAUAUGAUGGACGGAAUAUCAAUGAUGAAAGAUCCUGGGACAGGUGCUGAUAUAGAAAUGAGAAUUGGAUGUCAUUCUGGUCCAGUCAUUGCCGGAGUCGUAGGUUUAAAAAUGCCAAGGUAUUGUCUGUUUGGAGUAAAUGUUGGCCUGACUGAGAAGUUUGAAUCCAAUUCUAAACCAAUGAGAAUACAUAUUUCUGAAACAUGUCAGAAAGCUCUCACAGCGCAAUAUAAGGUUGAGGAACGGAAUGAUCCCGGACUGAAGGAGAAAGUUGGUGGCUAUAGGAGUUUUUUCCUAAACGAAAAAGAAGGCAGGAAACGUCUACCGGAAGCUGUUAUAAAGGCAUUAAUGCCGACCGAUAAAGAAAUGCCGAAAGUAGAAAAACCUGCGGAAAAAAAGGAGAAAGCAGAAAAGACGGCUACUGCUACCAACAAAGAGCCAGCAAAAGCUCCUGAAGCCCGUACUAAAGAGGUUGAGGCAACUCCUUCAGAACCAUCUAAGAACGCUAAUCCUGGAUCUGGAGGUGACAAAAACAACAAUAAUACCACAGAGGCAGAAGAAACGUCGGGAAAAAAAGAAGCGCUCGAGAAUGAAGCAGCUCCUGUGAAUAGUGGCAAGAUCGAGGAAAGUUCCGCAAUACCAAAUGUCGAAACUGUGGCUCAAAACCAGUGUUGUGGUGGACUAGAGAGAUCAGCUGUUUGCAGCAUACUCUAAAGGUUUGCAACAUACUCUAAAGGUUUGCAGCAGAUUCUGAAGGUUUGCAGCAUAUUCUAAAGAGAACCUUCAAGUUCUUAAAAAUGUCAAGUGUUUCAAAAUUCGGUGGACAACGCCGGGCACUUCAGCUGGUUGUACAUAAAGAACUUAAGAAAAUUAUUCUGUGUCUGAAUUCAUACUGGCUCCAUCAGACACCAAGGUCCCUAAAUUUUAAACUUCUUCAUCAAAAUUUAAAUAAAAUUGUUUAAACGG
RNAcentral lists this unclassified non-coding RNA (2885 nucleotides) under Eurytemora carolleeae. Its description in RNAcentral is "soluble guanylate cyclase 88E". The record is from RNAcentral. Lineage: Eukaryota; Metazoa; Arthropoda; Copepoda; Calanoida; Temoridae.